UAAGGGCUUUUGUAGUUGAGUUA
RNAcentral lists this transfer RNA (23 nucleotides) under Careproctus sp. KUI 27997. RNAcentral's name for it is "partial tRNA-Glu". The record is from RNAcentral. Lineage: Eukaryota; Metazoa; Chordata; Actinopteri; Perciformes; Liparidae.